Molecule: long non-coding RNA, 310 nt
Organism: Cygnus olor (mute swan)
Lineage: Eukaryota; Metazoa; Chordata; Aves; Anseriformes; Anatidae
Exons: 2
Source: RefSeq, a predicted model, not a curated record
UCCCCAAAUUGCUCUGAAAAUAUACACAGGAUCACCUGGCCAGCCAACAAGCCAAGAUUGGGAAGUAAGGUCAAUUUCUGGACUACUGGGCUUUCAGGAAGGAUCUGAAGGGCACGUGAAGCAGAGAAAGGUAGCUCCUUUCCAGGGAUACAGACUCCAGUCUGAAAGUCAUGAAGCAUAUUUCAAGAUGACCAUUUGGAAACAACAUUUGGAGGAACAUUUGGGUUGCAUCCUCUAACUAAAUUUCCAAGCUGUUGGUAACGGACUAAGGAAAAUGUGGUCUGCACUGAAUACUAAAGAGCUGCAAAUG